RNAcentral lists this ribosomal RNA (408 nucleotides) under uncultured bacterium. Its description in RNAcentral is "partial 16S ribosomal RNA". It matches the Rfam family "Bacterial small subunit ribosomal RNA", at positions 28 to 526 of the family's 1533-position model. The record is from RNAcentral.
GACGAACGCUGGCGGCGUGCUUAACACAUGCAAGUCGAACGAAGUGGCGAACGGGUGAGUAAAGCGUAAUCAACCUGCCCUUCAGAGGGGGACAACAGUUGGAAAAGAGUGCUAUUAACGCCUACUGCAGGAGGGGAUUGAGUCUGAUUAGCUAGUUGGAGGGGUAACGGCCCACCAAGGCGAUGAUCAGUAGCCGGUCUGAGAGGAUGAACGGCCACAGUGGGACUGAGACACGGCCCAGACUCCUACGGGAGGCAGCAGUGGGGAAUCUUCCGCAAUGGACGAAAGUCUGACGGAGCAACGCCGCGUGAGUGAUGACGGCCUUCGGGUUGUAAAGCUCUGUUAAUCGGGACGCGGUACCGGAAUAGAAAGCCACGGCUAACUACGUGCCAGCAGCCGCGGUAAUAC